RNAcentral lists this ribosomal RNA (492 nucleotides) under Enterobacter cloacae complex sp. 4DZ3-28B. RNAcentral's name for it is "partial 23S ribosomal RNA". It matches the Rfam family "Bacterial large subunit ribosomal RNA", at positions 1 to 524 of the family's 2925-position model. The record is from RNAcentral. Lineage: Bacteria; Pseudomonadati; Pseudomonadota; Gammaproteobacteria; Enterobacterales; Enterobacteriaceae.
GGGUUGUGAGGUUAAGCGACUAAGCGUACACGGUGGAUGCCCUGGCAGUCAGAGGCGAUGAAGGACGUGCUAAUCUGCGAAAAGCGACGGCGAGGUGAUAUGAACCUUUGACCCGUCGAUGUCCGAAUGGGGAAACCCAGUGUGAUUCGUCACACUAUCGUUAACUGAAUACAUAGGUUAACGAGGCGAACCGGGGGAACUGAAACAUCUAAGUACCCCGAGGAAAAGAAAUCAACCGAGAUUCCCCCAGUAGCGGCGAGCGAACGGGGAGCAGCCCGGAGUCUGAAUCAGCUUGUGUGUUAGUGGAACGGUCUGGAAAGUCCGACGGUACAGGGUGAUAGUCCCGUACACGAAAAUGCACAUGCUGUGAACUCGAAGAGUAGGGCGGGACACGUGGUAUCCUGUCUGAAUAUGGGGGGACCAUCCUCCAAGGCUAAAUACUCCUGACUGACCGAUAGUGAACCAGUACCGUGAGGGAAAGGCGAAAAGAAC